This 1543-nucleotide long non-coding RNA is filed under the name Lactuca sativa (garden lettuce). RNAcentral describes it as "long non-coding RNA (LSAT_LNC006743)". The record is from RNAcentral. Lineage: Eukaryota; Viridiplantae; Streptophyta; Magnoliopsida; Asterales; Asteraceae.
AACAAACAAAAUAUAGAAAAAAACAUUAUAAAAUAUAUUCGAACAAAAAGUCAAAAAAAAAAAAUAGAAGAAAUUAUUCAAACAAAAAGUCAAAAGAAGUAUUAAUAAACGUAUUCGAAAAAAAUAUUAAAAAAUUAGAAAAAAAUAUACGAACAAAAUAUCAAAAAGUGUAAGAAAAAAUAUAAAAAAUAAUUUAAUAAUAUAUUCGAACAAAACAUCAAAAAAAUGUUAAUAACUGUAAUACAAAUAAAAUAACUAAUAAUAAUAAUAAAUAAUAUAUGGCGUUACAUAAAUGGUCAUUGCGGCUGGAACAAAGUACAUAAAUGGUCCCUAUGGUACAGUGGCGGAGCUUGAACAACUAACUUGGGGGGGCCGAAAAUAUUAUAAACUGAAAUUAACAUUCUUAAAAAAAAAACAAAUUGUUUUCAACAAAUAAACACCAAAAACACAUAGAAAAAUGAUUACAACUCAGCACAACGACCUUUAAUGUCUUUAUAUUCAUCAAUUCGUUUCUUUAUCAUCUACCUUUCUUUUGUAAAAAUAAUCUAAGGCUUUCAUCUUUCCCAUGAUUAUAUCUACAAAAAUCAAAACGAAGGAACAAUUAUUCAAUCAAAAUCAAAAAUAUAAAGAUAACCAAUAACUCAUUUAACAAUUAACAAUAUGUGAAAACUGAAAAAUGAAAAAAAUGAAUUGAAAUCAAAAGUGAUUAAGUGAAAACAGAUCAAUGACCAAAUGACCAAAUCAAUAAUCUCUUGUUGAUUUUCAGUUUUGUUUGAAGCAUAAGUGCAUAACCAAAUGACCAAAUCAAUAAUUUUAUGUUCCUUUUUGGUGUCCUAGAGCUUACAUUAAAUCAUAAGUCAUAACUGUCAACAAUUAAUUUAAUCCAAAACUGAAAUCAAAAGGUUAUUAAUUGGCAUUUAGCAAAUGACAGCUAAGUUAAAAAGAAAUUCUAAUUCCUAAUUUGGAGUUUGGACCGAGAGAAUUAGGGAAACUCAGAAACAGCAAAUAGCAGCAGCACAACAAUGAACAAUCAACAUUCAGCAAUUAACAAUCAAAAGAAUUAAAGAAAGAACAUCAGAAGUAGAACUAGAAAAGAAAGAACAGGAUUCGCCGAUUCGGGAAUCGGGAUUCCAUACGAGACCAUACCUGAUUUCUGAUUUUCUAUUUUCUGUGAAUGGCGACUUCAAGACUUGGCGAAUGGCGAUGGCCGAUGGCGAGACUUCAGACUCGAGAGUGAGACCAGGCGGAGACAACGACAGUGCGACACAAUGCGAGACAGCAACAAAGGUCACAACAGAAAGCGAGAAGCGAUUUAGCGAAUUGGGAAAUUGGAUGAAUGAUUUUGAUUUCUUGAAGAAUCGCUUGGAGAAUUCGUAUAUUGGACUAUUGGAGAUUUGGAGUCUGUGAGGGAUCGGGAGGGGCCAAAGCCCAAAUUUGAAAAGAGCAGCCAAUAACAAAAUUUUUUUGAACUAUAAUCCCUGCUUCUAGCCCAAAAAUCAGGGGGGGAGGGCACUGCCCCUCCUGCCCCCAAAGAAACUCCGCC